GUCGUCGUCCUCGUCGACGACGUGCACGAGGAGGAGCGCGAGGCGAACGAGCGCGCGAGACACGGCGCGCACGCCUCUGCUAAUGAUCAGGAGAGACGACACCGACACGGCGAGACCGCGAUCGAUCGACGCCAUCACCAGCUGCUGCCACAUGUUAACAACCUCAAUUCGAUCGGUGGAUCCAGUACUGAUCGAUCAACUGGUUAGUCCCAACAACUGCAGGCCUGUAGCUGGUAGACAACUUAAUUUUUUUACCAAGUGGGACCCAUCUUAUUUUCUCUCAUAGGUUUUAACCAUUGUGGAGUUUAUCAUAGCUAAUGCUUUCUGCACAUUAGUGCCCAUUGUUACAUAUACAUUGAGGAUGCCCUCAUGCGGACUGUUUUUGCGUAAAAAAAAACAUUAAUUAUGUUCAAUCCC
This 417-nucleotide small RNA is filed under the name Oryza sativa Japonica Group (Japanese rice). Its description in RNAcentral is "sRNA Os03g0813450". Lineage: Eukaryota; Viridiplantae; Streptophyta; Magnoliopsida; Poales; Poaceae. The record is from RNAcentral.